RNAcentral lists this ribosomal RNA (497 nucleotides) under uncultured bacterium. RNAcentral describes it as "partial 16S ribosomal RNA". It matches the Rfam family "Bacterial small subunit ribosomal RNA", at positions 28 to 507 of the family's 1533-position model. The record is from RNAcentral.
GAUGAACGCUGGCGGCGUGCCUAAUACAUGCAAGUCGAGCGAACAGACGAGGAGCUUGCUCCUCGGACGUUAGGGGCGGACGGGAGAGUAACACGUGGAUAACGUACCUAUAAGAGUGGGAUAACUUCGGGAAAGCGGAGCUAAUAGCGGAGAAUAUAUUGAACCGCAGGGGGGAAUGGUGAGAGACGGUGUUGCUGGCACUUAUAGAUGGAUCCGCGCCGCAUUAGCUAGUUGGUAAGGUAACGGCUUACCAAGGGAACGAUGCGUAUGCGACCUGUGAGGCUGAUCGCCCACAUUGGAACUGAGACACGGUCCAGACUCCUACGGGACGCAGCAGUAGGCAACCUGCCGCAGUGGGCGAAAGCCUGACGGAGCAACGCCGCGUGAGUGAUGAAGGUCUUCGGAUCGUAAUACUCUGUUAUUAGUGAAGAACAAAUGUGUAAGUAACUAUGCACUUCUUGACGGUACCUAAUCAGAAAGCCCCGGCUAACUACGUG